UACAGAGGGGGCAAGCGUUGUUCGGAAUUACUGGGCGUAAAGGGCGCGUAGGCGGCACGGCAAGUCGGGAGUGAAAGCCCGGGGCUCAACCCCGGAGGGUCUCUCGAAACUGCCGAGCUAGAGUGCGGAAGAGGCAACCGGAAUUCCCAGUGUAGCGGUGAAAUGCGUAGAUAUUGGGAAGAACACCGGAGGCGAAGGCGGGUUGCUGGGCCGACACUGACGCUGAGGCGCGAAAGCCAGGGGAGCAAACGGG
This 253-nucleotide ribosomal RNA is filed under the name uncultured bacterium. RNAcentral describes it as "partial 16S ribosomal RNA". It matches the Rfam family "Bacterial small subunit ribosomal RNA", at positions 524 to 776 of the family's 1533-position model. The record is from RNAcentral.